This 67-nucleotide transfer RNA is filed under the name Peniagone sp. YYH-2013. Its description in RNAcentral is "tRNA-Asn". It matches the Rfam family "tRNA". From Rfam's summary of the family: Transfer RNA (tRNA) molecules are approximately 80 nucleotides in length. Their secondary structure includes four short double-helical elements and three loops (D, anti-codon, and T loops). The record is from RNAcentral. Lineage: Eukaryota; Metazoa; Echinodermata; Holothuroidea; Elasipodida; Elpidiidae.
UAAAUUGAAGCUCAAAAGAGCUUUUGGCCGUUAACCAAAAGGAUGAAGUUUUAUUUCUUCCAAUUUA